UGCAGGGCCCCGAUCAGGGUCAGCUUAUCUCUUCUGCAUCAAGAGGGGUCAACUGCAAGUCUGGGAUGGUGGCUGAGCUGAUCUUGGGACCCCAGGCCCUUCUAGAACGAAGUCUCAGCGUGGGAGCCAGGAGCAGACAGGGUCUCGACCUCAGAGAGCUUCCAGCCUGAUGGAGAGAGCCGGAAGAGUCAGGCUGGCUCUGUGGCUGCCCGUGGUCUUGGGGCAGGAGGGCUCCAACUAUGGGCCUGGAAAAAGGAGGGGCAGAGGCUUGAGGGACUGGUAGAGACUGGGGAGAGAAGAAAGAGGCAGGGUGUUCUAGGCAGGAAGAUCAGUAUGGGCAAAGUGGGAAGGCUGGACUGAGUAACGUACAUAUGUGUGCACGAGUCUGUGUAUACUAGCGAGAGCAUGCCCUAGGGGCCUUGGAGAAUAUAAAAUCCAACUUUUCAUUUUAUUGGUGAGGAAGCUGAGGCUAGAGAAGGGAAGGGACAUGUCUCUGGUCAGAGUGAGGUCCUGACUGACUCCAGCUCCAGUCCAGGUUCUGCCUCCAAUUCCUGGGUUCUAAAGACGGAGGUGUCAAGCUGAGCUGCCAAGUCCCUCCUUCUCCGGCUUUUUGCUGGUCCCACAGUGGUCUUGGUGAUGCAGAGCAGGGGCUUAACAGUGAUGUCUGCCUUCUGGCCAAUGGGAGGGUCUGGGGCUGGGCACUCUAUCCCUGUCCAGGAGUCCCAAACAAACCCGGAGUGGCUGCUUACACCUCGGCCUUAUCCACAAGGCAUGUCCCAAGCCCAGACUCUGGACACCCAGAGAAGAACCCAGCACUGAACACCAGGCCGAAUGGGCUCCAACACCCACGCUAGAGAAAGCCCCAACCACCUGACCCAGAGAGAACUUACAACUGGGCUCUGAACACAGAGAAAAGGUCCCAGCACCUGACCCAGACGCAUCUACACAGGCUGAGUUUCCAUUACAAACUCAGUACUGGAUCACUACAACGCCAUCCAGAAACUCCCGUAAAGAACCGAACAUCCAAAUGCGAGCACCCAGAGAGGGUCCCAGCACCCAAACCCUGAACACUAAGAGGAGAUCCCAACACCCGAACCGGGUCCAUUUGGAUCUGCUUCCAACCCAGACCCAGAACAUCCCGAUUAGAUGCCUACAAUUGACUCAGAUCUGGAGCCCACACCGGGAAUGGACUCACCCAGUCCUCCCUCCUCCCCAUCCAGCCUCGGUGAGGCUCAUCCUGAGAGGUCUUCCAAGUUCGAAGACUUUUUCUGCCGAUAUGUGUGACCAUCGAUCGGGAUGACUGCGACUGGGGAAGGGAGCAGGAGGCCAGGCCUGUUCCCUUUGGGGGAAAGGGGAGGGGAUCCAGUUUGCAGGGCUAGGGUGGGAGCGGGCAGGCGGGGUGUGCGCCCCGGCCGCUUCCAGUCGGCGCGGGAGCUGGGACGGAAGCUGUGCGCCCUCGGAGCCCCUGCAGUCCCCUCACCGGGCGCUCCCAAA
Molecule: long non-coding RNA, 1494 nt
Filed under: Homo sapiens (human)
Lineage: Eukaryota; Metazoa; Chordata; Mammalia; Primates; Hominidae
Description: HSALNT0291801
Source: RNAcentral